GCUUGAAAGAAAUAGCAGUUGUUUAAAAAUGGGCCCCUUCCUAAAGACUUAGGAGGAGUCACUGUAAAAAAAUUAGAAACAUACCUGAAUCGAUGAGAAAUUUUUAUUUUGCCAUCAGUGUUUCCAGUGGAUAUUAUCAACAAUUUACAUCAAAAACUGCAAUUGUAAAGGUUCCAAGUACAGACGCCAGCCACGCAAGGCUCUCAGUUUUGCUCCUCUUGAAGGCCCGAAAUUUAAAACUUCUUUCAAAAGAAAAUGUUAUACCAUUGUUCUGUCUCUGCAGGCUGACUAGCACUGGCCAUAACUGGUGAACUCUUGCUAAUAGGUAAGACGGGUAAAGUAAUCUAUUAACUACAAGCUACAAUUGAAUUAUAAAAAGGACAACACAGUUUCCAUCUUUAGAUGUUUAUUCAUCAUCAAAAUCUUUACAAAACAUUAUCUGACAAUAAUAUACUCAAAUAAGAGCCAUAUUUUUGCGCUUGGACCAGGUCUCCACAAAAAUGCUUUAGGUCUGAUUACAGUAAAAAAGGAAAUUAAAAAGAAAAAAAAGAAAAAGGAAAAAAAUCAACAACAAACCAACUACCAAAGAAAACAAUGCAGAGCAUAUUUACAACCUACAGAAGUUGAAGCUGUCUGCAGGAUAUGAAUGAGGGGGAGACAGUGGGAAUGAAAAGAUUUAUAUGGAGAGUAUUUUAAGAGGCAACAAAAAAAACAUGGGAAAGGACUUGGGCCUGCAAGGAACACAAAGACUAAUUAUGAUAUUGCUUUCUUUCGAGCUCCUCCUUCUUGCUUUCUCAUUGCACUGUUAACUGAAAGCGAAGAGUGCAGCACAUUUAAAUAAAAAACAUGCUCUCUGCAGUGCCAACAUUAAAUCCAAUUAGGGGUGUAAACGGGCUUUGUCAGACAAACGAAAAAGUGUGUUUCCCCAACAGAGGUUAAUGAUCAUGUCUUCCUUUUCUGUGUCCCCGCUGACAUGAGCAAUGGUAGAAAAACAGAGUUAGGACAAUGUAGGUCAUAGGUUAAAGACUUCUUGCUAAUGUAAAAGAGAAUGGAACAAUAACAAUCAAUGGGGACCGGGCUGGCCUGAACAUCAGUAAUGGUAAUGCUGGUUCAGAGGAGGUAGAGGAGUAGGUGCUGCUAUAGAUACACAAACCCACACACACACACGUGCACACACAGAGGCCCUCUGGGUACAUGCGGGGAAGCUAAAUCGCUAGCAACACUUCCAGUCUCUCUUUUGCAUCACAGAAGUUAUUGAUUCUGUAUAAACACUAAUGACAGAGUAACAAUAACAGGAACGCAAAUCUAGAAAUUGCAAAUGAGGAAUAUUACCAUUUGUCUUUUUUUUUCUUUCUUUAUUUAAAUUUUUUUGUUUUUAUCCUAUUUUUGUUUUUGGAGUGAGUGUGUGCUAUAUGGGAACGUCCCAGUGCUGCUUACUAGAAAGACACAAAUAUAUGGCAGAGGAAGGAAAGCUACAAAGCCAUGUCUGGCUUGGAAUUAAAUUUUCAAAUCCAUUUAUCAGAUAAUGGAUUAGAGUCCACUGUACCGUUUGAUGAACUGGAAUGGGGUGUCAAACCCUGCUGUACCUAUAUUAUCCUUUUAUUAAGCACAUGUGUCUUUUUAUGUGUUUGUACAUCUCCGUCUGUGAUUGUUUCUCCAGCAAAGACUAAGAAGUGGAUUACUGAUAAUAGUGUAAAUGAUAAUUCCUGUUCAGAUAAAGUGCAUCUUUGUAUGAGCGCAUGCAUAAUACAUACAGUUCAGAGGAUGCAAAUAUGUCGUAGCUUAAUCUGUGUGCCAUAUGUGCCUCUACAGAGUACAGACUGGAUGUGUGUUGCAAGUGUGAGAGCAUGGCUGAAGCUGUUUGUGUCAUUUCUUGCAGUGGAAACAAAGCUGCCCUGGAGCAUUCAAAAUAUAUCACAACGCUUUCCUUGUAACAGAAUAAAAUGUCCUCGCACUUACCCAUUUGUCCCUCUAUGUUCUCCCUAUUAAACAGUAUCUCUGUCUACCCUUCUCUUCUCCCCUGCUUUUCCUGUCCCCUUGGAGAUGUGCGUUUAGCUUUUCCUCUAAGCAUAAACACUGAAAUAUAAAAGUUUUUUACUGCAGUUCUUCAGACCUUUAUUCACCCCACCCAAAGCAAGAAGAAAAAAAGGCGAAAUUUGAAAAAAAGAAAAAAAAACUUUUCCCAAUGGGGAGUUGAGCCCGAACACAAAGAGUGACAGGGACUGGGGAACUCGGGUAGUAUAAACCCAUAAACAAACGAAGCAGAAGAGAAAACAAAGCCUACUGGCAUUGCGGGGCUAGCACAGACGGUCCUGGAGUUCAGCUCAAACAUGCAUCAUUAGCAUGCACUGCUUGUGCUUCCAGCUCUCUGAUGGCAAAAUAAAUGGACAAAAGACUGAAUAAUUACUGGCAGCAGAAUUCAAACAUUCCGCUGAACAUAUCUGAUUUUAUCUGGGAGGUAGUCAUGAUCAAUUGAUCAUUUAUUAGUAGCUGAUUUAAUUGUGGAUAUACAAAGAUGGUAUUUGCAUUUUCUAAUUACACAUGAGGGCAAAGAAGCUUUGAUCUUUAUGUUCAGUCUGAAAUCAACUAUAAUCACUGUUCUGAAACCUGCAUUAAUUAGUAUGCGUAGGGUACUAGGCUUAACAGGAAACUAUUAAAGGGAAUGCCUGUCCCAGGUGUGAGUGCUCGACACAAACCUAUUUCUCUAUUUAACAGCCUACAGUGCCAGGGAAUUAUACUUUAAUCGAGACAAGGGCAUGAAUGGGUCAGCAAACAAGAUGCUUUAAAAACAGUGAAGUUGUCCAUGACAUGUGCUGCUGGUUCUAGGGCACUCCGGACAGGAAUUAUCUCCCGUACUGUUUGUCUCUGGUUCAGUGCUCCUCCCUAAAUGGGCACAGUUUCCUAAAAUAUCAGCAUGCAGACAGAAAUAGAACAUUGUUAAACAGGUUCACCCGAGUCACCAAGCAGCAGACAUGAAAUUCAGGCCAAGGAGUUAUCAGGGGUGAUAUACAGCAAGGCAGGACAAUACAUGGAUAGAAUUGAGAGAGCUCCCAUUAUAAAGACAUUGGCACAGCUGCUAUUACAAAGUAAACUCCACCAUCACUAUUAAGCAACCGUACUGAGCGAAUCAACUGCUUUUUUUUAAAUGCAAUGUCCUGUACAUGAAGGGACCGAACCCUUCUUAGUUGUGAUAUCAUGAAGCAUUUCGGGUCAGUUGUUUUUGUUUUGUGUUUUUUGUUUUUUUUUGAUAAAACAUUUAACAAAAUAAUGGCACAUUAUAAAGAACAUCCUUCACAAGUUAAACUCUUGGUAUAAAGAAAAGCACACUUCUCCCCGAGUAGACCUUGAAAUGGCUGAUAGUGUUAAAAUUCUUGAACAAGAGGAAUGGAUGUAACUAACAACACGUUAUUUAAUUACCACCUGUGAGAUGGCUUCUCCAACAUGCCUGAUGGCAGAACAGGAAAUAUGAAUCUCUGUCAAGUUUGGCGCUUGAAGUACAUCACAAUAACAGGGCUCAGAAUCUUCCCCUCUUCGCGUUAUUGAGUAAAAUGACUGGAUUUGAGAAAUAAUGUCAGUAACAUAUUUUGUUUUUAAUGGUAGAGUGGUAGAAUAGUGAUGGGAGCAGAUAGAAAAAUACUUAUCAUUGAAACAACGAGAGCAUUACAGUAGGAACCUCCUCACCAAGUCAUCUUAGUAAUAUAUUCCCACUGGAAAGUGAAUAAGGCUCCUCUUCUGUUCACAAGCAGUUUGUGUUUCAGAAGAAAUGAAGUUCAUACCUUUUUUUUAAAUCUUUAAAGACUCAUUAUUUACAUCAUAAAUAAGUUCUAUUUGAUUUUGUCCUUUUAUUCAUCUUAUAGAAUUUCUUGACAUCAUCUUUGAACACCUCAAAAAUUUUCAAGCAAAAAAAUAUAAUACCAAAACGAAAUAAAACAAAAACAAUGCAUAUUUGUUUGAAUAUGCAUCAUCUUUCUUGGGAAAUGUUGGCCCCUUGCAGUUUCAUGUGUGGAUCAAUCAGUCUCUCUGUAGGAAGAGCAAGCGUAAGUUCCACAGCUCCCUAGAGUAUGACCACUGACAUGUAGGAAACUGGUGCACUGCUUGAGUUAAACUGAGGACAUUGUUUGACAGGCCAUGCAAGCCGUAUCCGAAAUCCUCAACAGCUCCAUAAGUCAACGAGCAGCAGUGCUCAACAUGGUGGCCAACGGUUUACUGAUUAGGAAAAAGAAAAAACAAAGAAAAAAAGAGAAAACAUUCCUUAAUUUCGGCUCACUUUCUGGAAAAAAUUGAGAUGUCAGGCAAAACCUCCUGUAUAGUCUGUGGGAUCAUAUGCAGGUCAAAGAGAAGUCAACGUGCUGGUUCAGCAUGCCACCACUAGGCACCAUUAUUCUCUGUGGUGGAAGAGCACAUGGCCUAAGCCUGGCCAACCCAGCAAGAUGGUGCUCUUCAAGUAGUCCAGUUAAUGAAAGUCAAACAUUGACUCAACAAUGUUUCAAAUGACUGUUUGGGGCAGUGAGAGUGGUUUGACCUUCAGUGAAGUAGACCUUUUCAAUAAUAUGUACAAUACAUUUCAUUCAAAUGUUCUUAUUUUAGUUUUUCCAUGAUUGCCUUUUUUUUUUAAAGCAUAGUGGGUUAUUCAGCUGGGAUAUAGUCAUAUACGGUACAAUGACUUGUUGUUCAUCUGUGUAAAGGGUCUUUAUAUAUUUAAUACAUUUAUGGAACAUACAGUUUAUGCUGCUUUGAAUUAUGUUUUUCAUAGUAACACUAAGAUCACAAGAACUGACUUGAGCUUACGUUGGGAGUGCCAGGUGUGAUACCUCAUUAUGAUAAAUACGUUCAUAACCUUUCAACAUGAUGACCCCGUUGAUUAUUCUAUUUCUUUAAGACAAUUCUAGUCCAUUCGAAAUCAUCAGGGGAUCUAGUGGUAAUUAUAAAUGUGAACUGGCAGAGGCUAGUUCAGUGGAACAUCUGACAUUUAAAAAGCUCCUUAGUUAAAGUACCUUAUGUGCAAAAAGAAAGAAAAAAUAUUAGUAAACUCUUUGGUUUAACAUGCACAUUAAUGUAAUUCAGUACAAAAUAUGACACUCAAAGAAACAAAAUAUUUAUGUAAUUAAUGAAAUUAUAUAUGUUAACUUUUUUAAUAGCUAGUGAGUAGAAAUUGUAAUGUUAAUCACAGUAAGAAGCCUUCUGCUCUUCAUAUGCUCUAUCUCUUCGAUCUUUGAUGUUACUGCCCUCACUUGUCGUGAAUGAAAACUUGUGUUUAUUGCACUUUCCCUUUCACUCCUGACUCAGAGUAAGCUGGCUGCUGCUGCUGUGAACAGAUGCCCCAUGAUGCUGAUAUGGGAUAUGACAAAGAUCAGAUUUGGAAAUAAGGUAAUUCUUUGUGGCAUAUGCUGAAUUAACCUCCCUUGAGU
This is a long non-coding RNA of Astatotilapia calliptera (eastern happy), 5408 nucleotides long. Lineage: Eukaryota; Metazoa; Chordata; Actinopteri; Cichliformes; Cichlidae. The record is from Ensembl.